AGACAGGUUUUUUGACCCGGCCUUUAUUUGGGAGAUACUAAAACUGAGAAAAGGAAAAUGUGACCGAGACCUGGUAUCUGAGCUACCUACAUAUCCUUGGCUAUAAAAGAAUCAGGCGAUGUGUAGUUUAGAGGUGAGUGAGAUAAUGGAGUAUGCCGAGGUGGAGAGCCAGUCGAGGUGCCGUUCCACCGUGGUUCCAAUCUGUUGUCUUGUUAUUACAUCAAAAUCAAAAGAAAUGAAAAGGGGUAACUAAGCCUAUCAACUACAAGUGACAAGAUUCCUAUCUAUAUCUUCAAACUUGAUCUUGCAGCUCUUGUUUCCAUGUUGACUUGUAUUCUCCCGGUGGAAUGCCCUUGUUGCUACCUUAAAUGAUAAUCUGAGAUGUUUUCCCUUUCUCCAGGUGGACGCCUGACUACUGAACUGUAUUUUGAGAUGUUCCCCCUUUCUCCACGUGGACACCUGACUACUGAACUCGAAUUGUAUUUUGGAUGUUUCUCAUUUGUCUAGGUGGGCACCUAACUGCUGAACUAGAAUUCCCAUGCUUUCUAGGCGGGCUCGUGAUUGCUAAACUUGAAUGUAUUCCCUGCUCUCCAGGCGGCUCCUGAUUGCUGACUUGAAAUGUAUUCCCUACUCUCCAGGCGGGCUCUUAAUUGCUGACUUGAAAUGUAUUCCCUGCUCUCCAUACGAGCUCCUGAUUGCUGACCUGAAAUGUAUUUGCUACUCUCCAUACGGGCUUCUGAUUGGUGAAAGUAUUCCCUUGUUCUCCAGGCGGGCUCCUGAUUUCAACAAAAAUAGACAAAAUAAAGAAAAUUUCCUGCCCCAGUUUGGUGGCUGGGCACAGAUGUGAGUGUAAAACAUAAUCAUGUUACAAAAUAUCAGUAAGAAUUUGAAAGCUAAAACUUGAAUUGUACUUCCUCGUUCUCCAGGUGGGCUCCUGAUUGCUGAAACUUGAAUGUAUUCCCUGCUCUCCAGGCGGGCUCUUGAUUGCUAAACUAAAAUGUAUUCCCUACUCUCCUGGCAGGCACUUAACUGCUGACUUGAAAUGUAUUCCCUGCUCUCCAGGUGGGCUCCUGACUGUUGACUUGAAAUGUAUUCCCUGCUCUCCGGGCAGGCUUUUGACUGCUGACUUGAAUGUAUUCCAUGCUCUCCAUGCGGGCUCCUAAUUGCUGACUUGAAAUGUAUUCCUUACUCUCCAUAUGGGCACCUGACUGCUCACUUCAAAUGUAUUCCCUUGUUCUCUAGGUGGGAUCCUAAUUUCAACAAAAUAGACAAACAAAGAAAAUUUUCUGCCCCAGUUUGGUGGCUAGGCGCAUCAUGUCACCAAAUAUUACUAAAAAUUUGAAAGCCAAAACUUGAAUUUUACUUCCCUUGUUCUCUAGGAGGGCGCCUGAUUGCUGAAAUUGAAAUGUAUUCCCUUAUUAUCCAGGUGGCCUACUAAUUUCUAAACUUUAAAUGUAUUCCCUUGUUCUACAGGUGAGCUCCUGAUUGCUGCACUUGAAAUCUAUUCCCGUUUUCUCUAGGUGGGCUCCUGAUUUAAAAAAAAUAGACAAACAAAGAAAAUUUUCUGCCCCAGUUUGGUGGUUGGGCGCAUCAUGUUACCAAACAUUAUUAAUAAUUUGAAAGCUAAAACUUGAAUUAUACUUCCCUCGUUCUCGAGGUGGGCUCCUGAUUUCUGAACUUGAAAUUUAUUCCCUUGUUCUCCAGGUGGGCUCCUGAUAGCUUAAACUUGAAACGUAUUCCCUUGUUCUCCAGGUGGCUCCUGAAUUCAACAAAAAUAGACAAAACAAAGAAAAUGUUAUGCCCCUGUAUCAAUCAAAGAAAAAUCUUGUCAGUUUAAAAUAUGGUGGUUGGUUUGUGGCCUUGACUUUGAGGGAGGUUGCUCCUUCAUUUCCCAUGAUCACUGAUUUCCAACUCGAAGACUUGAUUGUUUAUUGGCUAACCCCUUUUCUAUGUCAGCUUUAUCACUAAAAAUACCUCUUCUCCAUUCAGAACCAAUACCAUCUAUCUGCUGCAUCGCUCAUACUGACAUUUACCAAACCUUUAUGUUUCGCAUGAACUCCAAAGCAUAUUGAUUGUUACCAACUCAGCGCAUGUUCUUCUUUCCUGAUUUAAAUCACUAGCCUUGACCUUGAGGUCUGUUGCUCCUUCAUUGCCAUGAUAACUUUGACUUCUUCUUGGAAGACCUUGCUUGUCACUAGUUAACCACUUUCUUUGUCAAUCUUAUAAACAGGAAAUACCUUUAAUUCGUUCACUAAACACCCUCCAUCUCUUGAAUUGUUCAUGAAUUGAUGUGUACCUAACCUUUGUAUUUCACAAGGAUCCCAAAGCAUGUCCAUUGUUACCAGCUCAGUGCGCUUGUUAUUCUUUCCUGACUUAUAACACUUUGAUGUGCUAGCCAAAUCCCGUUUUGCACAAUUGGAAAGGUGGUGGCAAACUUUGAACUCGUUUCUCACUUGUUUUGACCAAACAUUCUUAGGAAGGGGAAGUAAGCAAGACACAAGGAACAGAGUAAAAGACAAAGGAAAUAGAUGAUUCCUAACAAGCAAACUACAAAGUAGAAACCUAUCAGAUAUGGAUACUAACUCUAAUGACCAUGACAUGCACCCGUGGCCUAUUCUGUCAAGCAAGUCUGAUGUUCAAAUCUUGUUGUACCUUUAAAUCGUGAAACUGGGUUUCAAUGCUCUGAUUAUUCAAUCUGAUGCACAAUACUUAUUCGACUUGUAGUGCCUGAAGAGUUUUCACUAUCAAGCCUCUCUCAUUUUGGUCUUUCUCUCAACUCACCAUUGCCUUAUGGUGCCUGUGAAGGUUUUCACCAAUAAGACUCCAUUUUUUAUAUCUCUCAGCUUUCAUCGCCUUGCGGUACCUGUGAAGAUUUUCAUCAAUAAGACUCUCUCAUUCUUCAUCUCCCUUGCUUAGACCAGAGUGUUGCCCCUGAUAUGAUUCACCUCUACUUGGUUGACUUGUCAUCUCUCGAAGACUGGUCGAAAGGUCUUUAUUUGGAACGUAAUGUGGGCUUUUGGAUAGGGUUAGAAAGAAAGGGCAUCAAAGGCUCGAAACAAUUCAAAUGGGUUCAAAAUUACAACUUUUAGAAUCAGAUUUCCUACAACAACCACAACUUCUGCCCCAGUUUCUUUGCUUGGGGUCUUUUGGAUUUUUAUUUUGAUAGGACCGAACCGUGAGGCCGCCUACGUAUCCUUAAAAGGAAUCAGGUCGAACGUAGUUCAUGUCAUAAAAAUAACUUUGUAGUUGUGAUUUUUCUUUUUCUUCCUCUUUCUCUUCUUUUCUUUUCUUUCUUAUUUUAUUAUUAAAAGAAAUCAGGUCGAACGUAGUUUAUGUCAUAGAAAUAACUUUGUUGUUGUGAUUUUCUUUUUCUUACUCUUUCUCUUCUUUUCUUUUAUUUCUUGUUUUGUUGUGUUCUUUUUCUUUUUCUUUUUCUUUUUCUUCUCUUUUCUUUUUAUUUUUCUUCUCUUUUCUUUUUUUUCUUCUUCUUUUUAUUCUCUCUCUUUUCGUUCUUUUUCUUUUCUCUUUUCCUUUUACUUAUCUUUCGCGCCUGCGCUGCUGAUUCGGAAAGAGGGGUAUGAAAGAAAAUAAAUAAGGCUCAAAGGGGUAACAAAUGAUAAAGUAUUUAGAUAGCAGAACAAAAUGUCUUUGCCAUUCCAAUCUCCAAAACAUGCCAAGUGCAAAUUACACGAUUAAACAAACCAAGGAAAAUAUUUGUAACAUCUUUUGAUUGUACCAGACUUGAUAACCAUAUCCACACAUUCGCUUUAUGUGUAUGUUAACUACAAAGUACCAUUGGACAAUACCCUCACUCUCAUUACCACGAACGGCCCCUGUCAAUUUGGGGCAAACUUGCCGUCAGUUUCAACUCGAUGUUGCAUGAUGUAUUUCAAUAGUGUCUCUUUAUGUUCUAUUUGCCCCAGUUUCACAUGGUUCGGGCUUCAAAUGAUCUCAAAAUGUCCAAAUAUGUUCUUAUUUCCCCCAAGUGCCCCUAUUAUUUUCCCAAUUGCUUCACCCUCUCUUUUUUUUGUUUUUUUCUUUCUUUUUUCAUUUUUUAAUUUGCCGUCAACUAUCAUUCGUCCGCCAAAUGACCCAUUUACCCUUGAAGAAAUGUGAAAUGUAGCACAUAGGAUGCAUCAGGAUGGUCUUUUCAUUUCAGGUGCACAUGUCCUAGACAGACCCAGCCCCUAUGUUGAGUCUCCAAAUUAAAAUCCACAUGAUGCAAACAAACGUUCCUACUGGGGAUCUGGCAUGAGGCUGAGUUAUUCUAGGUUCAAAACCUAGGUAUUUGUUCUAGACUUGUGUACCCGAGCGGACAACUCGAGCCGAUGAGGGGGCUGCGUACCAGGAACCAAAAGGCCAUCCGGCUUAGUAACUUGUCCGAGCCUCUUUCUUUUCAAGGUAUGACACUAACAGAAUAGGGAGUCUCGACCAGCGAGCACAUCCCCAAGGUCGAAUUCUGAACCCUGAACCAUGAGUUCUGGGUUCUUAUCCCCAGCAGAGUCACCAGAGCUAUCACACCUCCUUUUUCCUACCCCCGAGAGGGUAUACGAGAGUUUUUCCAAUUAAAUCGAGACAUGAUUUAUUUAUUUAAGAAAUUCAGAGUUGCCACUUGGGAUAAUUAAUGGUGUCCCAAGUCACCGGAUCAAAUCCCGAAUCGAGGAAAAGAUUGACUCUGUUUAACAGUCCACGAACCAGAAAUCCGAGUAAGGAAUUUUGUUAACCCGGGAGAAGGUGUUAGGCAUUCCCGACUUCUCUGAUUCUAGCACGGUCGCUCAACUGUUAUAAUUGGCUUAUUUACUUGAUUUUACUACAUGUUUAGCCUAUGGUGCAAUUUUUACUUUAUGUCCGCUUUUAUUCAAUUAUAUCUUUUUAUGAAGAUUUCAAUGUUAUUUAAAACAUAUCUUGAACCACGUCACAUAAAUGCACUCGCAGUCCGCAACACAUUUUAUCUAACGUUGAGAUUUGGAUUUGGGUCACAUAAAUGCGCACACAAGUUUAGGAAGGUGAAUUAUUGAAAUAACGCGUCUAAAGCAACUACGCGUUUUCAAGUUUGCGAGGGCCAUGGAAAGUUCGCUAAUGGCACACCUCGAUUAUUCUAAUCAAAGUGGAAAGUUCGCUAAUGACACACCUCGAUUAUUCUAAUCAAAGUUUCUACACUUAAUUUUGAAGGCCAUAGCUAUUGGUCUUGUUUGAAAUGGCGCACCUCGAUUAAUUAAAGGAAGUGCAUUUAACUAAGUGAACUAUGGAUAUUUAUUUUUACAACUAAUUUGAGAUCAAGUAUCAUAACCAUGGCAUGGGAACCAUACACGUUGUUGUGAUGAUUUAAUUACGUGCCUAAAGAAAAUUACGAAGGCUCAUACUUACUUCCUAAAACUAAUUUGAGAAUUGUUUUUAAUCGUAAACUCAGUGAGUCUGCUUAUACAUUCUACAUCAGGUUUUAAUAACAUAUCAGAGAAUCAAAAUAGAAAACAAACUACAUACAUAUUCAAGAUGCAAGUUGAAACCUAGACCAUAAACUACUACAGAUUGUUGUUACAAUAAACAAUUUGAAUCAAAAAAUCAGUAAACAUGUAACAUGAGAUGUCCAAAAAGGUGAUUCAUAACCAAAUCAGUUCCUUUCCUAUUCUUAAUCACCCCCAUGAAUAAGAUAAAUAAAAAAAUCAAGAAAUGAACCUGAACGAGAAACUUUGAUUAAUUAUGCCUGGAAUCUCUUCGAACGAGUACAGAAAUGAAAAAUAUGUCAGCUGAAUCAGCUACACAGCAACAGGAACGAUAUCGAGACUGCAAACCAAUGGUGAAUCUCAAACCGGUGACUGAAUGACAACCGCGUCGGAACCUUGAAACUUCGCCAAAACAAAACUCGAACGGCGAUCUCACAAACUCGAAUGAAGAAAUGAAGCAGGGGAAGUAAACAAGACUCACGAACGGGAUUCACGGUUGGACUCGUUGGUGGUUGUUGAUGGUGUGUUCUGGUUUUCGGCGACUGUCAUGUAGGGUUUGUAUGGCUGAUGGGUGGUGAACAGCGGGAGAUGGGGUUUAGCCGAGGAGGAAGAAGAAAGGUUUUUGGGUCCUCAUUCAAACGGCCGGUUCCUUUCAAAAUCCCAAACGGCUGAAGCUCCUUGAUCUAGGGUUCCACCAUUUUGUGUUGUUAGAUCUUUUAGUUAUAAAAGAGAAGAAGAAAACGGUUGAUCCCUUUCUGUUCCUAGGGUUUUUCUUUUAGGUUCAUGAGAAAUAAAGAGUCUUCUAAGGUGUAAACGGUUGAUGGUGUUUU
This 6274-nucleotide long non-coding RNA is filed under the name Nicotiana benthamiana. RNAcentral describes it as "long non-coding RNA (NBEN_LNC018678)". Lineage: Eukaryota; Viridiplantae; Streptophyta; Magnoliopsida; Solanales; Solanaceae. The record is from RNAcentral.